GCCUUACACAUGCAAGUCAACGGCAGCACGGGUGCUUGCACCUGGUGGCGAGUGGCGAACGGGUGAGUAAUACAUCGGAACAUGUCCUGUAGUGGGGGAUAGCCCGGCGAAAGCCGGAUUAAUACCGCAUACGAUCUACGGAUGAAAGCGGGGGACCUUCGGGCCUCGCGCUAUAGGGUUGGCCGAUGGCUGAUUAGCUAGUUGGUGGGGUAAAGGCCUACCAAGGCGACGAUCAGUAGCUGGUCUGAGAGGACGACCAGCCACACUGGGACUGAGACACGGCCCAGACUCCUACGGGAGGCAGCAGUGGGGAAUUUUGGACAAUGGGCGAAAGCCUGAUCCAGCAAUGCCGCGUGUGUGAAGAAGGCCUUCGGGUUGUAAAGCACUUUUGUCCGGAAAGAAAUCCUUGGUUCUAAUAUAGCCGGGGGAUGACGGUACCGGAAGAAUAAGCACCGGCUAACUACGUGCCAGCAGCCGCGGUAAUACGUAGGGUGCGAGCGUUAAUCGGAAUUACUGGGCGUAAAGCGUGCGCAGGCGGUUUGCUAAGACCGAUGUGAAAUCCCCGGGCUCAACCUGGGAACUGCAUUGGUGACUGGCAGGCUAGAGUAUGGCAGAGGGGGGUAGAAUUCCACGUGUAGCAGUGAAAUGCGUAGAGAUGUGGAGGAAUACCGAUGGCGAAGGCAGCCCCCUGGGCCAAUACUGACGCUCAUGCACGAAAGCGUGGGGAGCAAA
RNAcentral lists this ribosomal RNA (732 nucleotides) under uncultured beta proteobacterium. Its description in RNAcentral is "bacterial SSU rRNA". It matches the Rfam family "Bacterial small subunit ribosomal RNA", at positions 46 to 772 of the family's 1533-position model. Lineage: Bacteria; Pseudomonadati; Pseudomonadota; Betaproteobacteria. The record is from RNAcentral.